This 408-nucleotide long non-coding RNA is filed under the name Mytilus galloprovincialis (Mediterranean mussel). Lineage: Eukaryota; Metazoa; Mollusca; Bivalvia; Mytilida; Mytilidae. The record is from RNAcentral.
UUUUCAUUAUUAUACUUCGCAAGAGUCAGCAGUAACAGGAUGCAGUGUAUCUUACUUUGCGAUUUGCUUAUGUAGUCAUAUGAAACUUAAUUUACACGUACCCUUCCAUAAAUUACUUGCUAAAAAAAUGAAGAAAAAUCGUUUUAUCCUCCUUUUAUAUUAUCAUGAUGAUAAGUGGUUACAUCUCAUAUUAUAUCACCAUGAACAUGAAAUUAAGGAUGCUUAGAAUAAUAAGAUUUGCGGCACAUCUAGAUUUUAUUCUUCUUCAAAUUGAUGCGGAUGAGCUAUUGACAAAAGACCGAGAUCAGAUUUGUAAUAAAACUUUAAGUUUGAUAUUGUCUACUUGGGUCAAGUAGGAUAAACGGUACUGUAGUUCUUUCGGAAGAAUAGAACCGUGAUAUCUUUUCG